RNAcentral lists this ribosomal RNA (104 nucleotides) under Chlamydomonas priscui. The record is from RNAcentral. Lineage: Eukaryota; Viridiplantae; Chlorophyta; Chlorophyceae; Chlamydomonadales; Chlamydomonadaceae.
UGGUGCUCUUGCUCAGUUGGACCCACACCCAUCCCAUCUCGAACUGGGGAGUGAAAAAUCUGAGGGGACUAAGAAACUUGGUGGUAGACUACCCGGGAACUUAG